This 242-nucleotide ribosomal RNA is filed under the name uncultured Planctomycetales bacterium. RNAcentral describes it as "partial 16S ribosomal RNA". It matches the Rfam family "Bacterial small subunit ribosomal RNA", at positions 439 to 672 of the family's 1533-position model. Lineage: Bacteria; Pseudomonadati; Planctomycetota; Planctomycetia; Planctomycetales. The record is from RNAcentral.
GGAGUUAAGAAAUGUAAAGGUGUUAAUAGCGCCUUUAUUUGACGAAGGCUCCAGAGGAAGCCACGGCUAACUCUGUGCCAGCAGCCGCGGUAAUACAGAGGUGGCAAGCGUUGUUCGGAAUUAUUGGGCGUAAAGAGCACGUAGGCGGUCCUGCAAGUCUGUUGUGAAAUCCUUCCGCUUAACGGGAGAACGGCAGCUGAUACUACAGGACUAGAGUACGGGAGGGGAGAGUGGAACUUCUG